GGCAAUUUUUACGGGAAUUAAAAAUGUUGAUGGAAAAAUUUUGAAGGAUUAAAAAUGCUGACAUAAAUAGGUUGGGUUGUGUUUGGGUUUCUUAAGAAAAGGAUGAACAACUUACAGCAACAAGAAGACCAGUUUCUACUGAUACAAACAAGACACCAAAGAAAGCACCAAUGCAAGCAAGGAAGUCAAAUUUGUCAACUUUCCAUAUAUAGCAAGCUUCUCUUAUGUCGAUUAAUCCUGGAAGUGCAGAGAGGAUUAUAGAAGCAAGUAUAGCCACAGGUGUGUAAUAUAACAGCCUUGUAAACAAUUCCAAACACAGAAUCACUGUUAUAGCCAUCACAAUAUUUGAUACUGAUGAUUGACAUCUUGCACUGAAAUUUACUGCUGUUCUUGAAAAUGAACCUGCAAGUGUAUAAGAAUUAACCAAUUAUAAUACUUUACACAACAUACUUAAACUAGAGAUAGAUUUUUUUUUUCUUUUUUUUAUAAUUGGUACGAAGUAUUCAUCAUGUUUUUUCGGUGAUUAAUUUUUGUCGAGAAAUUCAAUCAGUCAUUUUUAAGGAGAUCUCCACUUAUAUGUUAG
This 583-nucleotide long non-coding RNA is filed under the name Medicago truncatula (barrel medic). Its description in RNAcentral is "lncRNA gene16953". Lineage: Eukaryota; Viridiplantae; Streptophyta; Magnoliopsida; Fabales; Fabaceae. The record is from RNAcentral.